Molecule: ribosomal RNA, 1565 nt
Filed under: Bacillus pumilus
Lineage: Bacteria; Bacillati; Bacillota; Bacilli; Caryophanales; Bacillaceae
Description: bacterial SSU rRNA
Rfam family: Bacterial small subunit ribosomal RNA
Source: RNAcentral
GCCUCUUGCUUGGCCCCCGCUUCUAUAUAUAGAUUUUUUUACUGUCAGGACGAACGCUGGCGGCGUGCCUAAUACAUGCAAGUCGAGCGGACAGAAGGGAGCUUGCUCCCGGAUGUUAGCGGCGGACGGGUGAGUAACACGUGGGUAACCUGCCUGUAAGACUGGGAUAACUCCGGGAAACCGGAGCUAAUACCGGAUAGUUCCUUGAACCGCAUGGUUCAAGGAUGAAAGACGGUUUCGGCUGUCACUUACAGAUGGACCCGCGGCGCAUUAGCUAGUUGGUGAGGUAACGGCUCACCAAGGCGACGAUGCGUAGCCGACCUGAGAGGGUGAUCGGCCACACUGGGACUGAGACACGGCCCAGACUCCUACGGGAGGCAGCAGUAGGGAAUCUUCCGCAAUGGACGAAAGUCUGACGGAGCAACGCCGCGUGAGUGAUGAAGGUUUUCGGAUCGUAAAGCUCUGUUGUUAGGGAAGAACAAGUGCAAGAGUAACUGCUUGCACCUUGACGGUACCUAACCAGAAAGCCACGGCUAACUACGUGCCAGCAGCCGCGGUAAUACGUAGGUGGCAAGCGUUGUCCGGAAUUAUUGGGCCGAAAGGGCUCGCAGGCGGUUUCUUAAGUCUGAUGUGAAAGCCCCCGGCUCAACCGGGGAGGGUCAUUGGAAACUGGGAAACUUGAGUGCAGAAGAGGAGAGUGGAAUUCCACGUGUAGCGGUGAAAUGCGUAGAGAUGUGGAGGAACACCAGUGGCGAAGGCGACUCUCUGGUCUGUAACUGACGCUGAGGAGCGAAAACACGGGGAGCGAACAGGAUUAGAUACCCUGGUAGUCCACGCCGUAAACGAUGAGUGCUAAGUGUUAGGGGGUUUCCGCCCCUUAGUGCUGCAGCUAACGCAUUAAGCACUCCGCCUGGGGAGUACGGUCGCAAGACUGAAACUCAAAGGAAUUGACGGGGGCCCGCACAAGCGGUGGAGCAUGUGGUUUAAUUCGAAGCAACGCGAAGAACCUUACCAGGUCUUGACAUCCUCUGACAACCCUAGAGAUAGGGCUUUCCCUUCGGGGACAGAGUGACAGGUGGUGCAUGGUUGUCGUCAGCUCGUGUCGUGAGAUGUUGGGUUAAGUCCCGCAACGAGCGCAACCCUUGAUCUUAGUUGCCAGCAUUCAGUUGGGCACUCUAAGGUGACUGCCGGUGACAAACCGGAGGAAGGUGGGGAUGACGUCAAAUCAUCAUGCCCCUUAUGACCUGGGCUACACACGUGCUACAAUGGACAGAACAAAGGGCUGCGAGACCGCAAGGUUUAGCCAAUCCCACAAAUCUGUUCUCAGUUCGGAUCGCAGUCUGCAACUCGACUGCGUGAAGCUGGAAUCGCUAGUAAUCGCGGAUCACAAUGCCGCGGGGGGAAAAACGUUUCCCGGGGCCUUGUACACACCCGCCCGUCACACCACCGAGAGUUUGCAACACCCGAAGUCCGGUGAGGUAACCUUUAUGGAGCCAGCCGCCGAAGGUGGGGCAGAUGAUUGGGGUGAUAAAAAAAGAGGGGGGAAAAAAAAAAAAAGGGGGGAG